ACGAACGCUGGCGGCGUGCCUAAUACCUGCAAGUAGAGCGCUGAAGGAGGAGCUUGCUUCUCUGGAUGAGUUGCGAACGGGUGAGUAACGCGUAGGUAACCUGCCUGGUAGCGGGGGAUAACUAUUGGAAACGAUAGCUAAUACCGCAUAAUAGCAGUUAUUGCAUGAUAACUGUUUGAAAGGUGCAAUUGCACCACUACCAGAUGGACCUGCGUUGUAUUAGCUAGUUGGUGGGGUAACGGCUCACCAAGGCGACGAUACAUAGCCGACCUGAGAGGGUGAUCGGCCACACUGGGACUGAGACACGGCCCAGGCUCCUACGGGAGGCAGCAGUAGGGAAUCUUCGGCAAUGGACGGAAGUCUGACCGAGCAACGCCGCGUGAGUGAAGAAGGUUUUCGGAUCGUAAAGCUCUGUUGUAAGAGAAGAACGAGUGUGAGAGUGGAAAGUUCACACUGUGACGGUAUCUUACCAGAAAGGGACGGCUAACUACGUG
RNAcentral lists this ribosomal RNA (494 nucleotides) under uncultured bacterium. RNAcentral's name for it is "partial 16S ribosomal RNA". It matches the Rfam family "Bacterial small subunit ribosomal RNA", at positions 29 to 507 of the family's 1533-position model. The record is from RNAcentral.